This 290-nucleotide ribosomal RNA is filed under the name Lactobacillus delbrueckii subsp. bulgaricus. RNAcentral describes it as "partial 16S ribosomal RNA". It matches the Rfam family "Bacterial small subunit ribosomal RNA", at positions 1254 to 1533 of the family's 1533-position model. Lineage: Bacteria; Bacillati; Bacillota; Bacilli; Lactobacillales; Lactobacillaceae. The record is from RNAcentral.
CCCGCGAGGGUAAGCGGAUCUCUUAAAGCUGUUCUCAGUUCGGACUGCAGGCUGCAACUCGCCUGCACGAAGCUGGAAUCGCUAGUAAUCGCGGAUCAGCACGCCGCGGUGAAUACGUUCCCGGGCCUUGUACACACCGCCCGUCACACCAUGGAAGUCUGCAAUGCCCAAAGUCGGUGGGAUAACCUUUAUAGGAGUCAGCCGCCUAAGGCAGGGCAGAUGACUGGGGUGAAGUCGUAACAAGGUAGCCGUAGGAGAACCUGCGGCUGGAUCACCUCCUUUCUAAGGAA